RNAcentral lists this small RNA (102 nucleotides) under uncultured Ruminococcus sp. Its description in RNAcentral is "RT-5 RNA". It matches the Rfam family "RT-5 RNA". From Rfam's summary of the family: Clostridium (Firmicutes). Environment (Cow rumen (57)) The record is from RNAcentral. Lineage: Bacteria; Bacillati; Bacillota; Clostridia; Eubacteriales; Oscillospiraceae.
UUGCGCCUGCGGCGGGCAAGGCACGGGAUAUCAUAUGCUUCGCAGGCAGCUUUCCCGUGUACGGUCCUGUACAUCCAAUAAUUUAUUGGAUUUAACUUCUUU